UAGCGGAGGAAAAGAAACCAACAGGGAUUGCCUCAGUAACGGCGAGUGAAGCGGCAACAGCUCAAAUUUGAAAGCUGGCUCCUUCGGGGCCCGCGUUGUAAUUUGUAGAGGAUGCUUCGGGCGCGGCGCCGGUCUAAGUUCUCUGGAACGAGACGUCAUAGAGGGUGAGAAUCCCGUAUGUGACUGGCCGCCUGUGCCCAUGUGAAGCUCCUUCGACGAGUCGAGUUGUUUGGGAAUGCAGCUCAAAAUGGGAGGUGUACUCCUUCUAAAGCUAAAUAUUGGCCAGAGACCGAUAGCGCACAAGUAGAGUGAUCGAAAGAUGAAAAGCACUUUGGAAAGAGAGUUAAACAGUACGUGAAAUUGUUGAAAGGGAAGCGCUUGCAAUCAGACUUGCGCGGCGUCGAUCAGCCUGGGUUCUCCCUGGUGCACUCGGCGCCGCUCAGGCCAGCAUCAGUUUCGGCGGUGGGAUAAAGGCCUAGGGAACGUGGGUCCCCUCGGGGACCGUUAUAGCCCUAGGUGCAAUGCCGCCUGCCGGGACUGAGGACCGCGCUUCGGCUAGGAUGCUGGCGUAAUGGUUGUAAGCGACCCGUCUGAA
This 595-nucleotide ribosomal RNA is filed under the name Leotiomycetes sp. Its description in RNAcentral is "partial large subunit ribosomal RNA". It matches the Rfam family "Eukaryotic large subunit ribosomal RNA", at positions 48 to 657 of the family's 3401-position model. The record is from RNAcentral. Lineage: Eukaryota; Fungi; Ascomycota; Leotiomycetes.